RNAcentral lists this non-coding RNA (76 nucleotides) under unclassified sequences. The record is from RNAcentral.
GAUAUGUUUCUGCCGAGAAACGCUUAUUCUUACUCCAGUAGGCCAUAGAAGGAGUAAAAAUAAGAGUCUAUUUUUU